Molecule: non-coding RNA, 79 nt
Organism: Paxillus rubicundulus Ve08.2h10
Lineage: Eukaryota; Fungi; Basidiomycota; Agaricomycetes; Boletales; Paxillaceae
Source: the annotation of a GenBank genome assembly
AGCCUUAUGGCCUAGUGGUCUAGAGUGCUUGACUCCCUAAUUUUUACCAGAGCCCCGAGUUCAAUCCUCGGUCCUGCCA